GACGAACGCUGGCGGCGUGCUUAACACAUGCAAGUCGAACGGAAAGGCCCUGCUCUUGUGGGGUGCUCGAGUGGCGAACGGGUGAGUAACACGUGAGUAACCUGCCCUUGACUUUGGGGUAACUUCAGGAAACUGGGGCUCAUACCGGAUAGGAGCUCCUGCUGCAUGGUGGGGGUUGGAAAGUUUCGGCGGUUGGGGAUGGACUCGGGGCUUAUCAGCUUGUUGGUGGGGUAGUGGCUUACCAAGGCUUUGACGGGUAGGCGGCCUGAGAGGGUGACCGGCCACAUUGGGACUGAGGUACGGCCCAGACUCCUACGGGAGGCAGCAGUGGGGAAGAUUGCACAAUGGGCGGAAGCCUGAUGCAGCAACGCCGCGUGCGGGAUGACGGCCUUCGGGUUGUAAACCGCUUUCGCCUGUGACGAAGCGUGAGUGACGGUAAUGGGUAAAGAAGCACCGGCUAACUACGUG
This 468-nucleotide ribosomal RNA is filed under the name uncultured bacterium. RNAcentral describes it as "partial 16S ribosomal RNA". It matches the Rfam family "Bacterial small subunit ribosomal RNA", at positions 28 to 507 of the family's 1533-position model. The record is from RNAcentral.